UUGUUGGGUAGGGGAGCGUUCUGUAAGCCGUUGAAGGUGUGCUGUGAGGCAUGCUGGAGGUAUCAGAAGUGCGAAUGCUGACAUAAGUAACGAUAAAGCGGGUGAAAAGCCCGCUCGCCGGAAGACCAAGGGUUCCUGUCCAACGUUAAUCGGGGCAGGGUGAGUCGACCCCUAAGGCGAGGCCGAAAGGCGUAGUCGAUGGGAAACAGGUUAAUAUUCCUGUACUUGGUGUUACUGCGAAGGGGGGACGGAGAAGGCUAUGUCAGCCGGGCGACGGUUGUCCCGGUUUAAGCAUGUAGGCGGAGGUUCCAGGUAAAUCCGGUACCUUGUUAACGCUGAGGUGUGAUGACGAGGCACUACGGUGCUGAAGUGAUAAAUGCCCUGCUUCCAGGAAAAGCCUCUAAGCAUCAGGUAACACGAAAUCGUACCCCAAACCGACACAGGUGGUCAGGUAGAGAAUACCAAGGCGCUUGAGAGAACUCGGGUGAAGGAACUAGGCAAAAUGGUGCCGUAACUUCGGGAGAAGGCACGCUGAUAUGUAGGUGAAGCCCCUGCGGGCGGAGCUGAAAUCAGUCGAAGAUACCAGCUGGCUGCAACUGUUUAUUAAAAACACAGCACUGUGCAAACACGAAAGUGGACGUAUACGGUGUGACGCCUGCCCGGUGCCGGAAGGUUAAUUGAUGGGGUUAGCGGCAACGCGAAGCUCUUGAUCGAAGCCCCGGUAAACGGCGGCCGUAACUAUAACGGUCCUAAGGUAGCGAAAUUCCUUGUCGGGUAAGUUCCGACCUGCACGAAUGGCGUAAUGAUGGCCAGGCUGUCUCCACCCGAGACUCAGUGAAAUUGAACUCGCUGUGAAGAUGCAGUGUACCCGCGGCAAGACGGAAAGACCCCGUGAACCUUUACUAUAGCUUGACACUGAACACUGGUCCUUGAUGUGUAGGAUAGGUGGGAGGCUUUGAAGCGUGGACGCCAGUCUGCGUGGAGCCAACCUUGAAAUACCACCCUUUAAUGGCUGGUGUUCUAACGUAGACCCGUAAUCCGGGUUGCGGACAGUGUCUGGUGGGUAGUUUGACUGGGGCGGUCUCCUCCCAAAGAGUAACGGAGGAGCACGAAGGUUGGCUAAUCCUGGUCGGACAUCAGGAGGUUAGUGCAAUGGCAUAAGCCAGCUUGACUGCGAGCGUGACGGCGCGAGCAGGUGCGAAAGCAGGUCAUAGUGAUCCGGUGGUUCUGAAUGGAAGGGCCAUCGCUCAACGGAUAAAAGGUACUCCGGGGAUAACAGGCUGAUACCGCCCAAGAGUUCAUAUCGACGGCGGUGUUUGGCACCUCGAUGUCGGCUCAUCACAUCCUGGGGCUGAAGUAGGUCCCAAGGGUAUGGCUGUUCGCCAUUUAAAGUGGUACGCGAGCUGGGUUUAGAACGUCGUGAGACAGUUCGGUCCCUAUCUGCCGUGGGCGCUGGAGAAUUGAGGGGGGCUGCUCCUAGUACGAGAGGACCGGAGUGGACGCAUCACUGGUGUUCGGGUUGUCAUGCCAAUGGCACUGCCCGGUAGCUAAAUGCGGAAGAGAUAAGUGCUGAAAGCAUCUAAGCACGAAACUUGCCCCGAGAUGAGUUCU
RNAcentral lists this ribosomal RNA (1611 nucleotides) under Enterobacter hormaechei. Its description in RNAcentral is "bacterial LSU rRNA". It matches the Rfam family "Bacterial large subunit ribosomal RNA", at positions 1221 to 2812 of the family's 2925-position model. Lineage: Bacteria; Pseudomonadati; Pseudomonadota; Gammaproteobacteria; Enterobacterales; Enterobacteriaceae. The record is from RNAcentral.